GCUUGUCUCAAAGAUUAAGCCAUGCAUGUCUAAGUAUAAACAACUUUGUACUGUGAAACUGCGAAUGGCUCAUUAUAUCAGUUAUAGUCUACUCGACAGUACCUUACUACUUGGAUACCGUAGUAAUUCUAGAGCUAAUACAUGCAUAAAUACCCAACUGCUUGUCGGACGGGUAGCAUUUAUUAGAUUGAAACCAAUUCACUUCGGUGAUUUUGUGUUGAAUCAUAAUAACUGUGCUGAUCGCUCUAAGCGAUAAGUCGAUUGAGUUUCUGCCCUAUCAGCUUUGGAUGGUAGGAUAUGGGCCUACCAUGGCGUUAACGGGUAACGGGGAAUUAGGGUUUGAUUCCGGAGAGGGAGCCUUAGAAACGGCUACCACAUCCAAGGAAGGCAGCAGG
This 395-nucleotide ribosomal RNA is filed under the name Aphanomyces invadans. RNAcentral's name for it is "partial small subunit ribosomal RNA". It matches the Rfam family "Eukaryotic small subunit ribosomal RNA", at positions 30 to 432 of the family's 1831-position model. The record is from RNAcentral. Lineage: Eukaryota; Oomycota; Saprolegniomycetes; Saprolegniales; Verrucalvaceae.